Molecule: transfer RNA, 69 nt
Filed under: Bos taurus (domestic cattle)
Lineage: Eukaryota; Metazoa; Chordata; Mammalia; Artiodactyla; Bovidae
Also listed under: 3 other names
Rfam family: tRNA
About the family: Transfer RNA (tRNA) molecules are approximately 80 nucleotides in length. Their secondary structure includes four short double-helical elements and three loops (D, anti-codon, and T loops).
Source: Rfam by way of RNAcentral
CCUGGUGGCUCAGAUGGUAAAGAAUCUGCCUGCAAUGCAGAGGAUCCAGGUUCAAUCCCUGGGUCAGGA